GAUGAACGCUGGCGGCGUGCCUAAUACAUGCAAGUCGAGCGAACCACUUCGGUGGUGAGCGGCGAACGGGUGAGUAACACGUAGGUGAUCUGCCCAUCAGACGGGGACAACGAUUGGAAACGAUCGCUAAUACCGGAUAGGACGAAAGUUUAAAGGUGCUUCUGGCACCGCUGAUGGAUGAGCUUGCGGCGCAUUAGCUAGUUGGUAGGGUAAAGGCCUACCAAGGCGACGAUGCGUAGCCGACCUGAGAGGGUGAACGGCCACACUGGGACUGGGACACGGCCCAGAAUCCUACGGGAGGCAGCAGUAGGGAAUCUUCGGCAAUGGGCGAAAGCCUGACCGAGCAACGCCGCGUGAAUGAUGAAGGCCUUCGGGUUGUAAAAUUCUGUUAUAAGGGAAGAACGACUUUAGUAGGAAAUGGCUAGAGUGUGACGGUACCUUAUGAGAAAGCCACGGCUAACUACGUGCCAGCCGCCGCCGUAA
This 483-nucleotide ribosomal RNA is filed under the name uncultured bacterium. Its description in RNAcentral is "partial 16S ribosomal RNA". It matches the Rfam family "Bacterial small subunit ribosomal RNA", at positions 28 to 523 of the family's 1533-position model. The record is from RNAcentral.